CCUACGGGUGGCAGCAGUGAGGAAUAUUGGUCAAUGGACGCAAGUCUGAACCAGCCAUGCCGCGUGCAGGAUGACGGCUCUAUGGGUUGUAAACUUCUUUUGUACGGGGGUAAACCCCGAUACGUAUAUCGUGUUGAAAGUAUCGUACGAAUAAGGAUCGGCUAACUCCGUGCCAGCAGCCGCGGUAAUACGGAGGAUCCGAGCGUUAUCCGGAUUUAUUGGGUUUAAAGGGAGCGUAGGCGGUUUGAUAAGUUAGUGGUGAAAGGCCGGGGCUCAACCUCGAAACUGCAUUUAAUACUGGUGGACUAGAGAAGAGUCGCGGUAGGCGGAAUUUAUGGUGUAGCGGUGAAAUGCUUAGAGAUCAUACAGAACACCGAUUGCGAAGGCAGCUCACCAAACUACAUCUGACGUUGAGGCACGAAAGCGUGGGUAGCAAACAGGAUUAGAUACCCCAGUAGUC
This 460-nucleotide ribosomal RNA is filed under the name uncultured bacterium. Its description in RNAcentral is "partial 16S ribosomal RNA". It matches the Rfam family "Bacterial small subunit ribosomal RNA", at positions 338 to 795 of the family's 1533-position model. The record is from RNAcentral.